Molecule: ribosomal RNA, 253 nt
Filed under: uncultured bacterium
Lineage: Bacteria
Description: partial 16S ribosomal RNA
Rfam family: Bacterial small subunit ribosomal RNA
Source: RNAcentral
UACGUAGGGGGCAAGCGUUGUCCGGAAUCAUUGGGCGUAAAGAGCGUGUAGGCGGCUCGAUAAGUCUGCUGUGAAAGUCCAGGGCUCAACCCUGGAAUGCCGGUGGAAACUGUCGAGCUAGAGUCCGGAAGAGGCGAGUGGAAUUCCUGGUGUAGCGGUGAAAUGCGCAGAUAUCAGGAGGAACACCAAUUGCGAAGGCAGCUCGCUGGGACGCGACUGACGCUGAGACGCGAAAGCGUGGGGAGCAAACAGG